RNAcentral lists this unclassified non-coding RNA (438 nucleotides) under Ewingella sp. 9 JD-2014. RNAcentral's name for it is "partial may contain 16S ribosomal RNA, 16S-23S ribosomal RNA intergenic spacer, and 23S ribosomal RNA". The stretch from base 99 to 172 matches the Rfam family "tRNA". Lineage: Bacteria; Pseudomonadati; Pseudomonadota; Gammaproteobacteria; Enterobacterales; Yersiniaceae. The record is from RNAcentral.
CUGUGGGCGGGCCGCUGCUUCCCUCCUUACCCAAGAUACGCAUUAGGCAGUGUCCCCCAGAUUGUCUGAUAGAAAGUAACGAGCAGAAAUACCUUUAUAGGCUUGUAGCUCAGGUGGUUAGAGCGCACCCCUGAUAAGGGUGAGGUCGGUGGUUCAAGUCCACUCAGGCCUACCACAUCUUUCCUUCUCCUGCAUGACCGCCACCAACUCGCUCGUCAACGCAAAACUCAUUAGGGUCCCCCUAGACUAAAGAAAAGGUAUAUCUCUUAUCUGGCAGCGCGUCUGGGUCUGCAAAGACUGCAUGGGGCUAUUCCUCAUUUUGGAACACGACCGGCUUGCCCUUUAGAAAUAACGGUUCCCCCCCCCCUAACUCCACGCAUCCCAUUAUUUCUCUCAUUAAUUAUUUUCAACAAUUUGGAAAUUGCUUGCUCCCAACUA